This 770-nucleotide small RNA is filed under the name Pan troglodytes (chimpanzee). RNAcentral describes it as "processed transcript". Lineage: Eukaryota; Metazoa; Chordata; Mammalia; Primates; Hominidae. The record is from RNAcentral.
GGAAACUUCGUGGCUUGCAUGACAGCUAUUUUACGACAAAUGGAAGAUUACCAUUAUGCCCACUUGAUCAAGACUUUUGGGAAAAUGAGGACUGAUGUGGUAGAUUUCCUAAUGGAAACAUUCAUCAUGUUUAAGAACCUCAUUGGAAAGAACGUUUACCCCUUCGACUGGGUGAUCAUGAACAUGGUGCAAAAUAAAGUCUUCCUGCGAGCAAUUAAUCAGUAUGCAGAUAUGCUGAACAAAAAAUUUCUGGAUCAAGCCAACUUUGAGCUACAGCUGUGGAACAACUACUUUCACCUGGCUGUUGCUUUCCUUACUCAAGAGUCCCUGCAACUGGAGAAUUUUUCAAGUGCCAAGAGAGCCAAAAUCCUUAACAAGAGCUUUGAAUGGACUGAAGUGGCACCUUCUAUCAUUGUAAAUAAACCUCUCCAAAGCUCCAUGAAAGCCGAGAUCCUUGCCGGCUCCUCCAGCUCUGUAACCCCAGUUUGCAUCAUGCACCGCUCAUGACUCAGUAUCAAGAAGCACCAUUGUUGCAUGGGUUUCCUUCCCCUGUUUGGACACCCGGAGGGUCUUGCUUCGUCUCUUUCUGCCUCCGUUUCACUAAUUUCUCACUGCUGUCGGUGUUCCUUUCAUAAGUCCUUUUGAGAAGAGUUCUGAAAUUGCUUUGGUGUUGCCAUCAGUCUCUGUCAUUUUAUAAAUACCUCUGCAAUAUCUCGACUGUUCUAAGGCUUGGCCAACUCCAUGCUGCUAGCUGAGGUUAGAGAUUCCAG